This is an RNA transcript of Lacerta agilis (Sand lizard), 2870 nucleotides long. It is a transcript of the gene named telomeric repeat binding factor 2, with no coding region annotated. Lineage: Eukaryota; Metazoa; Chordata; Lepidosauria; Squamata; Lacertidae. The transcript has 10 exons. The record is from RefSeq and is a predicted model, not a curated record.
GGAAAGAGAAGAUGGCGGCUGGUGGCCGCGGACCGUCUCUUGCCUCAUCGCCUGAAGGAGCCGCAGAGGCUCGCGAAAAUGCCUUGGAGGAGGCGGUGAACCGGUGGACCCUCCUCUUCUACGCCCACCGGGCCCUUCAGGCUUUCCGAGCCGGCCGCAGCCAGGACUUUCGCCAGCUGCGGGACGUCAUAUACGCUGUGCUUGCACGGCCCCUAGCACUAGAGAAACACAUUGGCAUUCAGCUGCGGAUUAUCCAGCUUCUGUCUAGGAUUGAAGAAGAUUGGACCAUUGAUACCAAGACCAAGUUAACGCCUCUUGAAUAUGCCCUUGUUCUUUUGGAUAAGAUGAAGAAUGAAUUGGACAUAGACAUUGAUGUAAUAGAAGAAAUAAGAAAAAAAAUAAAGGAAGCAGCUGUUAUAACCUGUCUAAAAAACAAAGAAUAUGAACAAGCCAGCAAGAUCUUGAAGAAACACAUGUCAAAGGACCCAAGUUCCCAGAAAAUGAGGUCGAUGUUGCAGAGCAUCAUCCGAGAAAAAAACUUCGCUCAUCCAGCCAUCUGGAACUUCUCCUAUAAAGCUUUCCAGCAGAAAAUACUUCUGUAUUUAGAAAGCUGCUUGAGUGACUCUGAGCCCUUUCUCUUAGAGAUGGCAAAAAAGGAUUUGGACAAUCAGAUAGAGACCAGGCUCGAUCCUUUGGAAAUGGCCAGCAAGGAGGAAAUGGUGAAAGAAACCUCAGAGGUGGCAGCAGCAGAUAAACCUGAAUAUGUGGGAAGAUCUGAUGAGACUUUGGAAGAGCUCAGGCCUGAGGGAGGGCCUAGCAAUACAGUGGAAGAACAGCCCAAGUCUCUGGAGGGAGGCCGUGAGACAGUUGCAAGGCCUUUGAUGGAGGCAAAGGGAGCUGUUUUGGAACUUGCUGAAGUGGUUGAUGAGUGCCAGGCAGCUUCAAAGCCAGAAGAUGAAACCAGUGGAGCUGCAGAGCCUGCUGUGGUUGCUGUUGCCACUGUCUCAGCAGCUUCCAGGGAUUCUGACAGAUGUUUGCCUAAGAGGAUGGGCUCGUAUGGGUUUUCUACUCUGAGAGACGCUUUCAAGAUGCUGUCCAAUUCCCCAGAUGCAGAUGAAGAGUUUUCAAAACUGGACAAGUUGGACUGGACUUUUCCCAAGCCCUGUUUGGCUUCUGAUUUCCACGCAGCCAAGUGCCAAAGGGAGAAGAACCAUGCUGCCUCUAGGCCGCACCCCAGUGAACGCUCAGUGUCCAUAAGCUCACUGGUUAUGGGGUCAGUGAGCUGGAACCCCCCAACUUCCUGCCAAGUUUCAUCCAAGAAGCCUGUGGCAACUUUGGUUGUCCGGCCUGCACAGCCCCAAAUACCCACCCAGCCUGAUGAUACCUCCCGAUGUCCCAGAUUAGCCAAGAGGAGACUAAUUUGUUUAGAUCAGGAUGAAGAAAAGGAGGUCUGGAGUGAUGAGGAUGAACUCUUUGAAUCGAAGGAAGAAAGCAGCAGCAGCAGCAUCAACACUUCCCUCUUUGGUUCUAAAAAGAAGAUCUGGACAUCAGAGGAAUCUCAGUGGAUUAAGGAAGGUGUGAAGAAGUUUGGGGAAGGGAGGUGGAAAGCCAUUUCCCAGGCAUUCCCCUUUAAGAACCGGACUCCUGUGGCGAUCAAGGACCGAUGGCGGACAAUGAAGAAUCUGGGGCUCUUGUGAACCUGGGGAAUGACCUGGAGGCAAGUGCCUAAGCUCCAACUCUAUGUGGACAUAGGGUGGGCCAGAGCUUUUAAAGUAUCAUCUUUCAGACUGGCAUAUGUCUGCAGAGCAGUGAGUGGUGAACAACCGGGGGAGAGUCAACUUCCAUUUUUUCCAUAUCCUCAAUUUAGUUUGUAAAUAUGGGUUAUUCAUUUGGCCAGUAAUUUUAAGGAUUAAGGUUUUUUGAAAGAUAAAGCACAUAGCAGACCUAGGGCUAUUUGUUUUUCUUCCAAAUUGAUCCAUUUCUUACCAUUCUUCAUAAUCAUGAAAGCCUGCUGUCUCAAUUGGAAUGCAUCAUGGUAUACCGAGAGGUUUGGUAAACCCCGACAUCCUUCAUUUAAAAAAGAAAGGAAAAUAAGAUUUCAUGGGCAACCUUGAAGACUUAUCUUGAAAUAUGAAACAAUUUUAGUUUGCCAUUUGAUCAUUGGAGAAAAGUAAGGAGAACCUGAAAGAGGGACAGAAAACAGGGAAUUAAAAUGAUAUGUACUGCUGCAAUAGAGCCUAAAAUGGAAAGGUUAAAUUGGUUCCAUUUUUUAAAGUCCCUGUUCAUUUUUAAAAUAAUGGGAUAAUUCGGUUUAGAUUCAUGGUUCAUGUUUUUUAGAAUUGGCACACCCAAGUCUCCAAAUGCAGAGCAGCACAUGGGUGUAUUAAGAAUAUGACGUGUGUAUUUGAAUCAGUGGUGGAAGACUGAAAAACAUCAUUGAUUUUCCAGUGUUUACUUUUAAGCCUGCUACUUCAGAAAAAGAUGUUAAUUCUUCCUUUAAUGCACAGGCUGACCCCUUAGGGCCUUUCAUCAUCACAACAAUAUCAUCUGCAUACAUUGUCAACAGAUGCUCUUCGCCCUCUCUCCAAUAUCCUUUUACAUCUGGAUUAAGACGUAAGAUAUUAGUGAAUGGUCCAAAAGAGAAGGCGAGGAGCAAUGGCGACAAGGGACAACCUUGUUUUGUCCCCCUCCAGAUUGCAAUUGCUGAGGAGUCCAUGUUAUUAAUUCUUAGAGUAGUUGAAUUAUUUGAAUAGAGUUUAGCUAUUGCUGUAAUAAGGCGAUUGCCUAGUUGGCAUGUCUGCAAAAUGUUAAGACAUAACACCAUUCCAGACCAUCAAAGGCUUUGUAUAUAUCUAAGGAACAUAAAGCCA